This 602-nucleotide long non-coding RNA is filed under the name Chrysolophus pictus (golden pheasant). RNAcentral describes it as "lncRNA (ENSCPIG00010011013.1)". The record is from RNAcentral. Lineage: Eukaryota; Metazoa; Chordata; Aves; Galliformes; Phasianidae.
UCUGAAUGUCAGGAAUCAUGGGCUGUGGCAGUCCUGUUCACAGACAUUGUAUAUGUGCCUUAAGGAAUGUGGUUGGCAAAUCUCCUCUAUUAUUUGUUCUGGCUGCACAUUGUUUAUACUUCUCUUCCUGUUUCUGGAAGCAGAAAUUACUGUCUCAGUGGUGAGAUAAAAUAUUUCUCUUACAAAAGAAGGCGCUGGUUGAAGAGAAGCACUUUCGUCAUUUUCGUUUUUACAGCAAAGGAGAAGAGAGAUUUCUGGGAUCUCCCACAUGAAUAUUUUAUGAACUACCUGAGAAAGAGCUUAAGGGAUGAAUGGCUGAAAAUAAGAGACAGCACGGUGUGGUGGACUAACUGCAUCCCAGCUCUGGGCCAGCUCAGACCUGCAUCCUUCCACCCACCCUUGGCAGACCAGAGUGAGGAGAGAACUGUUCGUUUUGGAUCUCAAAAUGUUGGAGAAGCAGAGCUCAUCGUACUUAAUGAACAACAGGAGAAAAAUCAAGCAGUAACACUUUCCUGCUCCCCACUUUAAGAGUCCUCAGAGCCACUCUUGGGAAAUUGCAGCAUUCAAGGAAUAAAACAGAACAGUCUCCACUUUUUAGACCA